AUGGGCAUAGGAUCCAAGAGAUUAAGUGAAAGAUUUGCCUCUUACCAUGCCUGGUUUCCUUCAGUUCAGAACUCAUCUUCUGCAGAACAUCUCUGUGCCAGCCCUCCCAUACCCCACUGCGAGAGUUUCCCCAGGAGACAACCCACAUGGACUGCUUCUGUCUUAAAAGAAAAAAAUCUCUUACUUGUCAGUGGAGUUCAAGUCCAGUGCUUACUUAGAGGAUCUGAGAGAGAGAAGGGAGAAGAAUACGAAAAAAAAUACCCUUGCCCAAGGACACCUGUGUGGUCUCAAUUUAUCACACCACAUAGUGACAGCAGGGAAAGAAAAUAUCUCCCAGACUGUUUUUCACAGGAAACUUAAAAAGCCCUAGGGAAUCCUAAAGAUUGAGGAUCCAAUGAGUUUACUUAAGUUUUUAUCCAGUUCAAUUGAUUUAAAGGAAAUAGAGUGAACUUUAUACCUUAUCUUAUUUCUAAUGAGCUCAUCCAUCCCCACCAAGUUUGGCUCUCUAGAGGUGCAUGCAUAUGCUUGAGAAAAAGAUCCCAAGGUGGACACAGUCAGCUUUAAAGAUGGAAUGUCUAAGACAAAUAAUCCUCAGAACAGAAGAGCUAUUGCAUGUUAUGGCUUUCUGGUCUGCUUCAGGAUCUGAGACUGAUAAAUAGGACCAAGCACAACAAAUGAUUUUGAGAGAGAUGAAAUAUAGUGCCCCUAAAUGACUUUUAAUCAAAAUAAGAUAAGAUGUCUAAAAGGCCCUAUCCAUAGCCAUUACUGUCUGUUGCAUAUGUACCCGUCUUCUGAAAAGUUCUCCCUCCUCCCAAGUCUAUAAUAAUUACCUAAACCAGGGAUUUUUAAUCUAUUUUCUAUUAUAAAUCCCUUUGUUAGGAAAUGCUGGACCUUACACAAUUGUUGUUUACUUUAUGAACUGAUAUCUCCUUGAAAUGUGUUAGCACUUAAAAUGGCCAUAGGGUCAUAGAUUUAGCACCCUUGGAAACUUUUAAGGUUCCUAGGCUCAAUACCCUCAUUUUUUAGACAAGGAAACUGAGGCCCCAGAGAAGGCAGGUGAUUAUAUGCUAUUAUAUGGCAGAGUCAGGUUUCGUUCCCAUUUCUGCUGACUCCAAAAAACAGUUCAUUUUGUACUGUGACAUGGUCUCUUGACAAUAACUUUGGAGUGAUUUUACAUAUAUCAAAUUCGUGAUGCUAAAAUCAAAGGCAAUGUUGAAAUAGUCAGAUUGUUUUUCUGCUGCAAAUUAAUUGGUCAAUUUAUCACCACUCAGUUGUCUGAGAAGAAGCAUGCUACAAGAAAAUUUCUUGUUUUUUCUGCAUAUUCAUCACCUAGCUCAUUUCCUGAUUCAGAAUCUAUUUUCAUUUCAUUAAUGGCCAUGAAAACAGCUGAUGCAGGAGCUGUGCCAUACUUUGAACUUGGUCAGACAUUGAAGAUCCCAAAGUUAUCUACUGUAUCCUGAGCUAUCAGCUCUUAUCUUGAAUUUCUCAUCAUUGGACAUCAAUGACUCUGGAAAUGACAUCUGAUGACUGACUGUGCAAAUCUGUCUCACUUAAAUCCAAUUCAUGUGAAGUCAAGACAUCAUUCUGUGAUAUCACAGGUAUUUCUCAAAAAUAAAGGGUGAACAACAACAACCAAAAAGGUAGUCUUGGAUAGUUCUCUCCCUCUUUGGCCCCAAGUCCUCAUAUUUCUCAUCACAAAAUAAAGAAUUUGAGGCAGCAUAAUGGGAGUGGAAAGAGUAUUAUCAUAGGAAUUCAAGCACUUGAGUUCCAAUCCCGACUUUGUCAUUUAUUCCCUAUGUCUCCUUUGGCAAGUUAAAACCUCUCCAUUCAUCAUCUGUCAAAAAAAAAAAAAAAAAGCUUCUGGAAUAGAUUACUUUGAAGUUCCCUUCCAGCUCUGAUCUAUAGAUUGAAGGGAGCUUGCAAAACCC
RNAcentral lists this long non-coding RNA (1928 nucleotides) under Sarcophilus harrisii (Tasmanian devil). RNAcentral's name for it is "lncRNA (ENSSHAG00000030784.1)". Lineage: Eukaryota; Metazoa; Chordata; Mammalia; Dasyuromorphia; Dasyuridae. The record is from RNAcentral.